AACGAACGCUGGCGGCAUGCCUAACACAUGCAAGUCGAACGAGACCUUCGGGUCUAGUGGCGCACGGGUGCGUAACGCGUGGGAACCUGCCCUUAGGUUCGGAAUAACUCCCCGAAAGGGGUGCUAAUACCGGAUAAUGUCUUCGGACCAAAGAUUUAUCGCCUUUGGAUGGGCCCGCGUUGGAUUAGCUAGUUGGUAGGGUAAAAGCCUACCAAGGCGACGAUCCAUAGCUGGUCUGAGAGGAUGAUCAGCCACACUGGGACUGAGACACGGCCCAGACUCCUACGGGGGGCAGCAGUGGGGAAUAUUGGACAAGGGGCGAAAGCCUGAUCCAGCAAUGCCGCGUGAGUGAUGAAGGCCUUAGGGUUGUAAAGCUCUUUUACCCGGGAUGAUAAUGACAGUACCGGGAGAAUAAGCUCCGGCUAACUCCG
This 431-nucleotide ribosomal RNA is filed under the name uncultured bacterium. RNAcentral describes it as "partial 16S ribosomal RNA". It matches the Rfam family "Bacterial small subunit ribosomal RNA", at positions 29 to 505 of the family's 1533-position model. The record is from RNAcentral.